CAUGCAAGUCGAACGAAGCCUUCGGGUUUAGUGGCGCACGGGUGCGUAACGCGUGGGAAUCUGCCUUUCGGUUCGGAAUAACUCGGGGAAACCCGUGCUAAUACCGGAUGAUGUCGCGAGACCAAAGAUUUAUCGCCGAAAGAUGAGCCCGCGUAAGAUUAGCUAGUUGGUGGGGUAAAGGCCUACCAAGGCGACGAUCUUUAGCUGGUCUGAGAGGAUGAUCAGCCACACUGGGACUGAGACACGGCCCAGACUCCUACGGGAGGCAGCAGUGGGGAAUAUUGGACAAUGGGCGAAAGCCUGAUCCAGCAAUGCCGCGUGAGUGAUGAAGGCCUUAGGGUUGUAAAGCUCUUUUACCCGGGAUGAUAAUGACAGUACCGGGAGAAUAAGCACCGGCUAACUUCGUGCCAGCAGCCGCGGUAAUACGAAGGGUGCAAGCGUUAAUCGGAAUUACUGGGCGUAAAGCGUGCGUAGGCGGUUGGCUAAGUCAGAUGUGAAAGCCCUGGGCUCAACCUGGGAAUGGCAUUUGAAACUGGCCAGCUAGAGUGUGAUAGAGGAUGGCGGAAUUCCCGGUGUAGCGGUGAAAUGCGUAGAGAUCGGGAGGAACAUCCGUGGCGAAGGCGGCCAUCUGGAUCAACACUGACGCUGA
RNAcentral lists this ribosomal RNA (649 nucleotides) under uncultured bacterium. RNAcentral's name for it is "bacterial SSU rRNA". It matches the Rfam family "Bacterial small subunit ribosomal RNA", at positions 54 to 749 of the family's 1533-position model. The record is from RNAcentral.